Molecule: ribosomal RNA, 165 nt
Filed under: uncultured bacterium
Lineage: Bacteria
Description: partial 16S ribosomal RNA
Rfam family: Bacterial small subunit ribosomal RNA
Source: RNAcentral
UACUCCUACGGGAGGCAGCAGUGGGGAAUAUUGCACAAUGGGGGAAACCCUGAUGCAGCCAUGCCGCGUGUGUGAAGAAGGCCUUCGGGUUGUAAAGCACUUUCAGUAGGGAGGAAGGUGUUGUCGUUAAUAGCGGCAGCAUGACGUACCUCAGAGAGCCCACCC